UAUUCAUUUGACCUCAUUACGUCAUCUAAUUUAUUCAUUCUGAAACUUUUCUUUCCACACACAAAAUGGACCUACGAACACUCCGGUUGAGUUUGAAGAACAAGAAAAACAGUAGAGGUCUACCUAUAUGGUUCAAGAUGAUGAUCAUAAGUGCAUGCAUCAUUUUGCAGAUUCUCAUCCAGGAUGAUGCAGUUUUACAAUUUCCAUGGAGGUGAUUGAUGAUGAUAAAUAAUUGGUGAAGUAGGCCUAAUAGAACAGCGACUAGACCACAAAGAGAAAUACAACCUACAGCAGUUAUAUGAGACUGGUGUAACAGAUGUUUUCAUUCAAGAAAUUCAACAAUUCAAGAGUCUGACUUAGGAACCACUUGAUGAAGAUGGAAAAGGUUUUUUUUUCCAAGUCCAAUUUUUCAACAACAAAAAAAAAUUAUUAUCACAACCCCAAAUUCAUGACGUAUGAAAUUUCUUGUUGAUUUUCAUUAAAACUGGUUGCAAAAGGAGAAGCUAUAAACAUACAAAUAGGAGCGGCGGAGUGAAGUUGAAAGUGGGGGGGGGGGGGCAUAGGGAAAAUGCUGUAUUACGUGACAUUUUUAAGAAGUUGCGAGCGAGCAAAAUUUUGACAUUUUAAAAAAGAAAAUCUAAAAUAUUGAGAAUGAUAUAUGUAUAUAUAUUUUUUUUUUUUUUUGGGGGGGGGGGCAAGAGUCCUUCAAGCCCCCCUUCCAUCUGUACGAAACUGCUUAUAUACCCCCACUCAUGAAUUAUUAAACUUAAUGCACAAAGGAUAAGUAUAUUAUCGAAAUGAGAAUAUUGUUUUCUUGUUUCAAAGGGCAAUCGUCAUGGUGGCCAUAAAACGGGUCCUUCUCAGGUGAAAGGGGCACAGAACAAGUUUUUUAGGAGCACUUUUCUUGGGUAAAAGGGGGCAGUGAUUCGAGAAAGGGCACUUACAAGAAGGCGAGGGGGCACUCUUUAACACAUGAAACGGGCCCUCAGAUGAAAGGGCACAGAACACGUUCCAGGGGGGGGGCAUUUUGGGGUUAAAAAAUUGCAUACAAGGAAGAACACUUGGUAACACCUAAAACAGGUUCUCGUCAGGUGAAAGGGACACAGUACACGUUCGUGAGGGGGCAUUUUUCUUGCAUAAAAAGGCACUUUUCAGUGCUUAAAGAAGUAGAGGGAACUGUGCUCCCCCCCCCCCCCCUCCCCAGGAUCGCUGCCCCAGCAUACAAAAAAAAUAUUCUUUUGGUUCAAAGUAUUAACAUACGCUUAAGAAAAAGGUAAAGCUUAAUCCUCUGAUAAUGUGAUAUUUUUUUAUGGCUAAUUAAUAAAAUUCACCACUAACCAG
This is a long non-coding RNA of Lytechinus pictus (painted urchin), 1341 nucleotides long. RefSeq lists it as uncharacterized. The transcript is spliced from 4 exons. Lineage: Eukaryota; Metazoa; Echinodermata; Echinoidea; Temnopleuroida; Toxopneustidae. The record is from RefSeq and is a predicted model, not a curated record.